GGGCAUGAGGGUAAUCUGGCUGCUACACCUGUCUCGGCAUUGAUCGUCAGGGUUGAUUCGGCUGACCUGGCUGGUGAGGUGCGUUUCCCUUUUUCCCUUCCUCCCUCCCUGCUCCACGUGCAUCCCUCCCAAAGCUGUGAAGCUGCGCUUUAGGUGGAAGAGGACCUUCUUUGGUCAAGGGUAUAGGAGUAGCUGUGCUCCCCUGCUAGAACCUUCAGACAAACUCUCAAGCACCAUUUGUAGGAGAAAGCAGGGCAGUCAAGUCUCCAAGACUCGGAGACACUGCAUGUUGCCGGCGGCCUUAAUUA
RNAcentral lists this small nuclear RNA (308 nucleotides) under Panthera pardus (leopard). Its description in RNAcentral is "7SK RNA (ENSPPRG00000015269.1)". It matches the Rfam family "7SK RNA". Rfam says of the family: 7SK was discovered as an abundant small nuclear RNA in the mid-70s but a possible function has only recently been suggested. Two independent studies have found that 7SK RNA binds the CDK9/cyclin T complex (known as elongation factor P-TEFb). The record is from RNAcentral. Lineage: Eukaryota; Metazoa; Chordata; Mammalia; Carnivora; Felidae.